This 501-nucleotide ribosomal RNA is filed under the name uncultured bacterium. Its description in RNAcentral is "partial 16S ribosomal RNA". It matches the Rfam family "Bacterial small subunit ribosomal RNA", at positions 30 to 523 of the family's 1533-position model. The record is from RNAcentral.
AUUGAACGCUGGCGGCAUGCCUUACACAUGCAAGUCGAACGGCAGCACGGGUGCUUGCACCUGGUGGCGAGUGGCGAACGGGUGCGUAAUAUAUCGGAACGUACCUUAUUGUGGGGGAUAACGCAGCGAAAGCUUUGCUAAUACCGCAUCAUCACUAAGGGGGAAAGCGGGGGACCGUAAGGCCUCCCGCAAUUAGUGCGGCAAAUACCUGAUGAGCUAGUUGGUGAGGUAAAGGCUCACCAAGGCAACGAUCAGUAGCUGGUCUGAGAGGACGAUCAGCCACACUGGGACUGAGACACGGCCCAGACUCCUACGGGAGGCAGCAGUGGGGAAUUUUGGACAAUGGGGGCAACCCUGAUCCGGCAAUGCCGCGUGAGUGAAGAAGGCCUUCGGGUUGUAAAGCUCUUUUGUCAGGGAAGAAACAGCAGCUCUAACACAGUUUGCGAAUGACGGUACCUGAAGAAUAAGCACCGGCUAACUACGUGCCAGCCGCCGCGGUAA